AUCCACCCCACCCUUAAACAACAAUAUAUAUAUAUAUAUAUAUAUAUAUAUAUAUAUAGGCUGGGGCUACUAUACUUAUAUGAAUAUAGAGCCCUUUGUACUCAUAAGUUUUCAGCCGUUUAGAUGAAAAAAUAUGCGGUUAUGAUGAAAGUGGUUAUGGUUAAGUUGAUAGUAGGCCCCCUAGGGUUAAGUGGGUGGUUGGUUAAAUAGUAUAAUCUAAUGGAUGAAAAUAAUUAAAUGAUAGAUCUAACGGUCACAAACUUAUGAGUACAAGAAGCUCUAUACUCAUAAGAGUAUAGUAGCCGGACUCUCUCUCUCUCUCUCUCUCUCUCUAUAUAUAUAUAUAUAUAUAUAUAUAUAUAUAUAUAGUAAGCUGGUAUGAUUCUGAAAGCAUGGAGCUUUUCAUAUUUUUAAGCCGUUUUCGAUGUUGGGAUUUUCAAAUUGACGAUCGACUCUGUUAGAGUUGAUCCAGAGUAUUUUAAGUACUCAGAAAAUAAAUUUUGUAAUUUUUCGAUAUCAUUUGCCUAGUGAUCGAAGGGGCUCAAAUUUUUGGUGCUAUCGAUAGUAUCCUUGCUGGACUAUAUAUAUGCACACCCACAUAUACACACGUCCCCAAAUAAAAUAAAACAUAUUUAAAUUCG
RNAcentral lists this long non-coding RNA (641 nucleotides) under Ananas comosus (pineapple). RNAcentral describes it as "long non-coding RNA (ACOM_LNC002561)". The record is from RNAcentral. Lineage: Eukaryota; Viridiplantae; Streptophyta; Magnoliopsida; Poales; Bromeliaceae.